Baffinella frigidus is the source of this 74-nucleotide non-coding RNA. The record is from the annotation of a GenBank genome assembly. Lineage: Eukaryota; Cryptophyceae; Cryptomonadales; Baffinellaceae.
UCCCCCGUGGUCUACCGGUAUUAGGACGUUGAUCUUUCCAAUCAAAGGACUCAGUUCAAUUCUGAGCGGGGGAA